Molecule: transfer RNA, 82 nt
Filed under: Prochlorococcus sp.
Lineage: Bacteria; Bacillati; Cyanobacteriota; Cyanophyceae; Synechococcales; Prochlorococcaceae
Description: tRNA-Ser
Rfam family: tRNA
About the family: Transfer RNA (tRNA) molecules are approximately 80 nucleotides in length.
Source: RNAcentral
GCUGUGAUGGCCGAGUGCUUAAGGCGUUUGACUAGAAAUCAAAUGGGAUUUUCCACCGCAGGUUCGAAUCCUUCUCGCAGCG